GCUUGUCUCAAAGAUUAAGCCAUGCAUGUCUAAGUAUAAGCAACCUUAUACAGCGAAACUGCGUACAGCUCAUUAUAUCAGCAAUUAUUUAUUUGAAGAUCACCUAUUACAUGGAUAACCGUGGUAAUUCUAGAGCUAAUACAUGCGAAAAGACGGGCCGCAAGGCUUGUUGUAUUUAUUAGAUAAAAAUCAACACUGUUGGUGAAUCAUGAUAACUUCUCGGAUCGCAUGGCCUCGUGCUGGCGAUACUUCAUUCAAAUAUCUGCCCUAUCAACUGUCGAUGGUAGGAUAGAGGCCUACCAUGGUUGCAACGGGUAACGGGGAAUAAGGGUUCGAUUCCGGAGAGGGAGCCUGAGAAACGGCUACCACAUCCAAGGAAGGCAGCAGG
This 388-nucleotide ribosomal RNA is filed under the name Malassezia globosa. Its description in RNAcentral is "partial small subunit ribosomal RNA". It matches the Rfam family "Eukaryotic small subunit ribosomal RNA", at positions 30 to 432 of the family's 1831-position model. The record is from RNAcentral. Lineage: Eukaryota; Fungi; Basidiomycota; Malasseziomycetes; Malasseziales; Malasseziaceae.